This 250-nucleotide ribosomal RNA is filed under the name uncultured bacterium. Its description in RNAcentral is "partial 16S ribosomal RNA". It matches the Rfam family "Bacterial small subunit ribosomal RNA", at positions 505 to 754 of the family's 1533-position model. The record is from RNAcentral.
GUGCCAGCAGCCGCGGUAAUACGGAAGGUGCAAGCGUUAAUCGGAAUCACUGGGCGUAAAGCGCUCGUAGGUUGCUUUGUAAGUCAGGUGUGAAAUCCCACGGCUCAACCGUGGAAUUGCACUUGAUACUGCAUUGCUUGAGUUCGGGAGAGGGUAGUGGAAUUCCAGGUGUAGGAGUGAAAUCCGUAGAGAUCUGGAGGAACACCGGUGGCGAAGGCGACUACCUGGACCGAUACUGACACUGAGGAGC